RNAcentral lists this ribosomal RNA (563 nucleotides) under uncultured bacterium. Its description in RNAcentral is "partial 16S ribosomal RNA". It matches the Rfam family "Bacterial small subunit ribosomal RNA", at positions 355 to 938 of the family's 1533-position model. The record is from RNAcentral.
UGGGGAAUAUUGCACAAUGGGCGAAAGCCUGAUGCAGCAACGCCGCGUGAGUGAUGAAGGCCUUCGGGUUGUAAAGCUCUGUCUUUUGGGACGAUAAUGACGGUACCAAAGGAGGAAGCCACGGCUAACUACGUGCCAGCAGCCGCGGUAAUACGUAGGUGGCAAGCGUUGUCCGGAUUUACUGGGCGUAAAGGAUACGUAGGCGGAUUUUUAAGUGAGAUGUGAAAACCCUAAGCUUAACUUGGGGACUGCAUUUCAUACUGGAAAUCUAGAGUGCGGGAGAGGAGAAUGGAAUUCCUAGUGUAGCGGUGAAAUGCGUAGAGAUUAGGAAGAACACCAGUGGCGAAGGCGAUUCUCUGGACCGUAACUGACGCUGAGGCAUGAAAGCGUGGGUAGCAAACAGGAUUAGAUACCCUGGUAGUCCACGCCGUAAACGAUGAGUACUAGGUGUAGGAGGUAUCGACCCCUUCUGUGCCGCAGUUAACACAAUAAGUACUCCGCCUGGGAAGUACGAUCGCAAGAUUAAAACUUAAAGGAAUUGACGGGGGUCAUAGCUGUUUCCU